Molecule: ribosomal RNA, 492 nt
Filed under: uncultured bacterium
Lineage: Bacteria
Description: partial 16S ribosomal RNA
Rfam family: Bacterial small subunit ribosomal RNA
Source: RNAcentral
AGUGAACGCUGGCGGUAGGCCUAACACAUGCAAGUCGAGCGGCAGCACAGUAAGAGCUUGCUCUUACGGGUGGCGAGUGGCGGACGGGUGAGGAAUACAUCGGAAUCUACUUUUUCGUGGGGGAUAACGUAGGGAAACUUACGCUAAUACCGCAUACGACCUACGGGUGAAAGCAGGGGAUCUUCGGACCUUGCGCGAUUGAAUGAGCCGAUGUCGGAUUAGCUAGUUGGCGGGGUAAAGGCCCACCAAGGCGACGAUCCGUAGCUGGUCUGAGAGGAUGAUCAGCCACACUGGAACUGAGACACGGUCCAGACUCCUACAGGAGGCAGCAGUGGGGAAUAUUGGACAAUGGGCGCAAGCCUGAUCCAGCCAUACCGCGUGGGUGAAGAAGGCCUUCGGGUUGUAAAGCCCUUUUGUUGGGAAAGAAAAGCAGCAGGUUAAUACCCCGCUGUUCUGACGGUACCCAAAGAAUAAGCACCGGCUAACUUCGUG